AGGAAGUAGUAUAGUGGGAGUGCAGAAAAUUUUGAGUUUUCUUGUACAGGUUCAAUUCCUGUCUUUCUAGGA
Molecule: transfer RNA, 72 nt
Filed under: Abronia graminea
Lineage: Eukaryota; Metazoa; Chordata; Lepidosauria; Squamata; Anguidae
Description: partial tRNA-Gln
Rfam family: tRNA
About the family: Transfer RNA (tRNA) molecules are approximately 80 nucleotides in length. Their secondary structure includes four short double-helical elements and three loops (D, anti-codon, and T loops).
Source: RNAcentral